RNAcentral lists this ribosomal RNA (284 nucleotides) under uncultured bacterium. RNAcentral describes it as "partial 16S ribosomal RNA". The stretch from base 31 to 284 matches the Rfam family "Bacterial small subunit ribosomal RNA", at positions 1 to 253 of the family's 1533-position model. The record is from RNAcentral.
CUUAGCCCGGUCCUCGGCCGAAAUUGCACNCUAGAUUUNAGUUGAUCAUGGCUCAGAUUGCAACGCUGGCGGCAUGCUUUACACAUUGCAAAGGUCGAACGGGUAAACCAAGGGGUCUUCGGAUGCUGACGAGUGGCGAACGGGUGAGUAAUACAUCGGAACGUGCCUAGUAGUGGGGGAUAACUACUCGAAAGAGUAGCUAAUACCGCAAUGAGAUCUACGGAUGAAAGCAGGGGACCUCCGGGCCUUGUGCUACUAGAGCGGGGCCCUUUUGGAAAAUUUGG